AUUGGCGGCUUGUCUGUUGUCUUAGCUAA
Molecule: non-coding RNA, 29 nt
Filed under: Homo sapiens (human)
Lineage: Eukaryota; Metazoa; Chordata; Mammalia; Primates; Hominidae
Source: RNAcentral